GGCGUGCUUAACACAUGCAAGUCGAACGGACGAUCCCUUCGGGGUGAGUUAGUGGCGAACGGGUGAGUAACACGUGAGGAACCUACCCCGGACUCUGGGAUAACUCUCCGAAAGGAGGGCUAAUACCGGAUACCUCCACACCUCGGCAUCGAGGAGUGAAGAAAGAACUUUGGUCUGGGAGGGUCUCGCGGCCUAUCAGCUUGUUGGUGGGGUAACGGCCUACCAAGGCAUCGACGGGUAGCUGGUCUGAGAGGAUGAUCAGCCACACUGGGACGAGACACGGCCCAGACUCCUACGGGAGGCAGCAGUGGGGAAUCUUGCGCAAUGGGCGAAAGCCUGACGCAGCAACGCCGCGUGCGGGAUGAAGGCCUUCGGGUUGUAAACCGCUUUCGACCGGAACGAAAUCAGACGGUACCGGUGGAAGAAGGUCCGGCCAACUACGUGCCAGCAGCCGCGGUAACACGUAGGGACCGAGCGUUGUCCGGAUUUAUUGGGCGUAAAGAGCUCGUAGGUGUUUGGUAAGUCGGGUGUGAAAACUCCAGGCUCAACUUGGAGACGCCACCCGAUACUGUCAUGACUUGAGUCUGGUAGGGGAGUGGGGAAUUCCUGGUGUAGCGGUGAAAUGCGCAGAUAUCAGGAGGAACACCGGUGGCGAAGGCGCCACUCUGGGCCAGUACUGACGCUGAGGAGCGAAAGCGUGGGUAGCAAACAGGAUUAGAUACCCUGGUAGUCCACGCCGUAAACGUUGGGCACUAGGUGUGGGUCUCAACCAACGGGAUCCGUGCCGCAGCUAACGCAUUAAGUGCCCCGCCUGGGGAGUACGGUCGCAAGACUAAAACUCAAAGGAAUUGACGGGGGCCCGCACAAGCAGCGGAGCAUGUUGCUUAAUUCGAGGCAACGCGAAGAACCUUACCUGGGUUUGACAUGGUGGGAAAAGCCGCAGAGAUGCGGUGUCCUUCGGGGCCCAUCACAGGUGGUGCAUGGCUGUCGUCAGCUCGUGUCGUGAGAUGUUGGGUUAAGUCCCGCAACGAGCGCAACCCUUGUCCUAUGUUGCCAGCGGGUAAUGCCGGGGACUCGUAGGAGACUGCCGGGGUCAACUCGGAGGAAGGUGGGGACGACGUCAAGUCAUCAUGCCCCUUAUGUCCAGGGCUGCAAACAUGCUACAAUGGCCGAUACAAAGGGCUGCAAGCCUGCGAGGGUGAGCGAAUCCCAAAAAGUCGGUCUCAGUUCGGAUCGGAGUCUGCAACUCGACUCCGUGAAGCUGGAGUUGCUAGUAAUCCCGGAUCAGCAUCGCCGGGGUGAAUACGUUCCCGGGCCUUGUACACACCGCCCGUCACACCACGAAAGUCGGCAACACCCGAAGCCGGUGGCCUAACCGCAAGGAAGGAGCCGUCGAAGGUGGGGUCGGUGAUUGGGGUGAAGUCGUAACAAGGUA
RNAcentral lists this ribosomal RNA (1435 nucleotides) under metagenome. Its description in RNAcentral is "bacterial SSU rRNA". It matches the Rfam family "Bacterial small subunit ribosomal RNA". The record is from RNAcentral.